RNAcentral lists this ribosomal RNA (253 nucleotides) under uncultured bacterium. Its description in RNAcentral is "partial 16S ribosomal RNA". It matches the Rfam family "Bacterial small subunit ribosomal RNA", at positions 524 to 776 of the family's 1533-position model. The record is from RNAcentral.
UACGUAGGCAGCAAGCGUUGUUCGGAGUUACUGGGCGUAAAGGGCGCGUAGGCGGCUUUUUAGGUUUGGUGUGAAAUCUCCCGGCUCAACUGGGAGGGUGCGCCGAAUACUGAGAGGCUAGAGUGUGGGAGAGGAAAGUGGAAUUCCUGGUGUAGCGGUGAAAUGCGUAGAUAUCAGGAGGAACACCGGUGGUGUAAACGGCUUUCUGGACCAUAACUGACGCUGAGGCACGAAAGCGUGGGUAGCAAACAGG